GGUAAUAUAUAUUAUCUUACUAUAGUUCUUUGAUAAUCGAAUUAUAUAAUAAAAUGAGCUGAUUCAGAUCAUUUAUUUUUAAAUAAACUUUUCAGCUACAUGUCACUAUAGAUUCCCACCUUCAGGCCCUUGUAAGCAUGAUGCCGGCUGCAAGAACGUGUGCACACAGCCUCCUGAAGAUCCAAAUUAUCUAGCGUGCAUUACUUCUGCCCCAAUGUUUGGCAAAUGUUGUUGUUUAGUAAGACCAUAGGUUGUCUAAUGAUACAUAAAUAUAUUUGUGUAAUGAUUGAAGUGGGAAGUACUACAAUAAAGUCAUGCGUAAAGCAUGGUUAAUGAGAUUGAUCUCUAAUUACCAUUAAGUUAUUGCUGAGAUAACAUGUUUCUUGAAUAUGGAUCCUUUCUAGUUUCUAUAUAUUGAAACUGGUUUGUCAUUCAUCACUUGUAUAUAUAUAUGCUGGUGGUGAUGCUCCUCUGGUGCUCGUCAAUGGAGUCGUGGCUACAGAAAACAUGAAUCGCCAUAUCGCCAUUUUCGUCCAUUUUUUUUUCAGGUGUAGACACAACAAAAGAGGAACUGGUGCGGGUUCUGUCUGCCCCGCAAGACCCGCAAUGACCCAAACCGCAAAGGCCCAACCCGCAUGAGACUUAACCCGCGAGAACCGCUCACAAAUGGGCCUACAUUAUCUCAACCCAAACCCGCCCCGCAUGGAUCUUGUACGGGCCAGACCCGCGGGCUGCGGUCCAAUUGCCAUUCCUAGUUUCACCGGAUCCUUUACUCUAAUUUUGGAAUUUGUGUUAAGUUUGGAAUUUUUUUUUUUUGCUGAGAAUAUAAAUAAUGCAAGAUUUGCAUACAAUAUUGCAAUUAGAUUCUGAAGAUAUAUGUACAUAUAUUAUUUCUUUGUUAAUUAAUUAAAUUAGGAAUGAAUGUUCAAAUCUACUCCAGAGAGAAUAUUAUAUAAUGAAUGCAAGAUUUGCACACAUUAUUGCAAUUGGAUUCUUUAGAUAUAUGUAAAUAUAUUCUUUCUUUGUUUGAAACUAAUUAGUAACGUAUGUACUUAAAAAAAACGUAUAUACAAUUUACGCAAGUAUUUAAAGGGAGAUGAUUAUUUGCUCUAAACCCAAAAGAAAAACAUCUCCACAAAAGAAAAGAGAUACCAAGAAACAAUGUCAGCACAGAAGAUUCAACUUGCUUGUUUGAUCCUAGCUUUUUUUCUUCUCUUUUCUCAAUCAACUGGUAAUAUAUAUUAUCUUACUAUAGUUCUUUGAUAAUCGAAUUAUAUAAUAAAAUGAGCUGAUUCAGAUCAUUUAUUUUUAAAUAAACUUUUCAGCUACAUGUCACUAUAGAUUCCCACCUUCAGGCCCUUGUAAGCAUGAUGCCGGCUGCAAGAACGUGUGCACACAGCCUCCUGAAGAUCCAAAUUAUCUAGCGUGCAUUACUUCUGCCCCAAUGUUUGGCAAAUGUUGUUGUUUAGUAAGA
RNAcentral lists this long non-coding RNA (1474 nucleotides) under Brassica napus (rape). RNAcentral describes it as "long non-coding RNA (BNAP_LNC026207)". Lineage: Eukaryota; Viridiplantae; Streptophyta; Magnoliopsida; Brassicales; Brassicaceae. The record is from RNAcentral.